This 465-nucleotide ribosomal RNA is filed under the name Vreelandella stevensii. Its description in RNAcentral is "partial 16S ribosomal RNA". It matches the Rfam family "Bacterial small subunit ribosomal RNA", at positions 338 to 795 of the family's 1533-position model. Lineage: Bacteria; Pseudomonadati; Pseudomonadota; Gammaproteobacteria; Oceanospirillales; Halomonadaceae. The record is from RNAcentral.
CCUACGGGAGGCUGCAGUGGGGAAUAUUGGACAAUGGGCGAAAGCCUGAUCCAGCCAUGCCGCGUGUGUGAAGAAGGCCUUCGGGUUGUAAAGCACUUUCAGUGGGGAAGAAAGCCUUGGGGCUAAUACCCUCGAGGAAGGACAUCACCCACAGAAGAAGCACCGGCUAACUCCGUGCCAGCAGCCGCGGUAAUACGGAGGGUGCGAGCGUUAAUCGGAAUUACUGGGCGUAAAGCGCGCGUAGGCGGUCUGAUAAGCCGGUUGUGAAAGCCCCGGGCUCAACCUGGGAACGGCAUCCGGAACUGUCAGGCUAGAGUGCAGGAGAGGAAGGUAGAAUUCCCGGUGUAGCGGUGAAAUGCGUAGAGAUCGGGAGGAAUACCAGUGGCGAAGGUGGCCUUCUGGACUGACACUGACGCUGAGGUGCGAAAGCGUGGGUAGCAAACAGGAUUAGAUACCCUAGUAGUC